RNAcentral lists this ribosomal RNA (417 nucleotides) under uncultured bacterium. RNAcentral's name for it is "bacterial SSU rRNA". It matches the Rfam family "Bacterial small subunit ribosomal RNA", at positions 355 to 776 of the family's 1533-position model. The record is from RNAcentral.
UGGGGAAUAUUGCACAAUGGGCGCAAGCCUGAUGCAGCAACGCCGCGUGCGGGAUGACGGCCUUCGGGUUGUAAACCGCUUUUAGUAAGGAAGAAGGGGAGCUUGCUCCUUGACGGUACUUGCAGAAAAAGGACCGGCUAACUACGUGCCAGCAGCCGCGGUAAUACGUAGGGUCCGAGCGUUGUCCGGAAUUAUUGGGCGUAAAGAGCUCGUAGGCGGUUUGUCGCGUCUGCUGUGAAAUCCCGAGGCUCAACCUCGGGCCUGCAGUGGGUACGGGCAGACUGGAGUGCGGUAGGGGAGAAUGGAAUUCCUGGUGUAGCGGUGGAAUGCGCAGAUAUCAGGAGGAACACCGAUGGCGAAGGCAGUUCUCUGGGCCGUAACUGACGCUGAGGAGCGAAAGCGUGGGGAGCGAACAGG